CAGUGUUGUUUGCUUUGAAAAUCUCUUAGUUUUGGGGACAGCAAUAUUGGUACGCGUAGCAAAAUUACCAAAGCCCGGAGCUAUACUUACUAAAUUUUUAUACAGUACCGUCUUUACCAGAGGUAUAUGUUUAAAGCACAAAGGAAACUUUGCUUUUCUGAAAGAAUG
This is a non-coding RNA of Pteropus alecto (black flying fox), 168 nucleotides long. The record is from Rfam. Lineage: Eukaryota; Metazoa; Chordata; Mammalia; Chiroptera; Pteropodidae.